Molecule: long non-coding RNA, 575 nt
Filed under: Nicotiana benthamiana
Lineage: Eukaryota; Viridiplantae; Streptophyta; Magnoliopsida; Solanales; Solanaceae
Description: long non-coding RNA (NBEN_LNC033811)
Source: RNAcentral
UGCCAGCCAUCACCAUGUUACACACAUAGAUGGUCACAGCUCUGUGAUACCAGGGUUGAGCAGACACCAGUAUGAUCAAUUGAUGAGCUUGUUGCAACAGACCAAGUUAGGGGAUUCCAGUGAUCAAGUUCCUCCUCCCUGUGUGCUGCUAAUUUUGCUGGUACUAUGUUGACUGAGAGUCUUGUUUGUGAUUCCAAAUUAUGCAUGCUUACACAUAUUAAUUAUGUCACCUAGAUCAUAGAUUCAGGGGCAUCUAAUCACAUGACACAUGAUAAAAACCUACUCUUUAACAUCAUACUUUUGACUGUUCCUUAUCUUGUAACUUUGCCUAAUGGUUACAAAGGGAAAGUUACUUGUACAGGUUCGUUUGCAUUAACUUCAUCCCUUACUCUUCACAAUGUGCUUCUGGUUCCUUCCUUUAAACACAACUUGAUUUCUGUCCACAAGUUGGUAAUACAAUUGCACUGUAUAGUUUUGUUUACUCCAACUUCCUAUUUACUUCACAUGAUACAGGACCCUUCUCUGAAGAGGCUUCUGGAUCUUGGUAAAGAGGAAGCUGGCCUAUACAAGCUGUC